GGAAAAGGAAAGGUAUUCCCUCUGAAUAUAUAUCACUCUUCAACAGGAUUUCGUAGGGUGAGUAAUUGCUUUCUAUUAGUUUUCUCCAUUCCUGUUCCUUUAAAUUUUAUAGAUUUUUUUUUCGCAGUAAAAAACUAUGCUACACUUGUUGUAAAUCCAUGGAUUUUGGAAUUAACGUUGCUUCGAAUAGUUGAAAGCUUACUCGUUUGGAUUAAUUUCUUGAUUUUUCUUUUCAAGAAAUUACUGUUAAUUAAGUCAAUCUGAUGUGAUAUAUCAAUUUUAUGAGGUUUGAUCACGAAUGUCUUUUAUGCUAAUGCUAAAAAUCCGAGAAUGAAUUUGAUGAUUUUGUUGCUCUUUCUUCAGUAGUCGAUAUGAGUCACGAUGAAUUAGUUCAAUUGCGUUUGGCUAAUUGAUGUAGCUUAAACCAAUCGAUUUAAAGAUGCUUAAAAAAAUAUAAAGAUAAGAUUAAGAAAUCAUUUGAGCUUUAUUGAAAUCUAAUGCAAGUUUAAAGUAAUGGUCAUUUCAUUUUGUUAAAUGGCUACUGCUUUGUAGUUGAUGUUGGUAAGAUCAUGCAGGAACAAGUUGAUUUUAUUGCAUUUUCGUGUUUUAAUGUGGCUUUUUGUUUCGGUUGUUGUUAUUCUUAACAGGCCACCAUCCUUGGAGGUCGUAUUUGAUUUGCCUAACUUAAGCAUUUUGUUUAUAAACGUAGGACAAUAACUGUUUGGCGAUGUUAGAUAAGAAUCCGUCUGCCUAGGCAUUUUUUAGUGGAGCUUAAUAUUUUAUUGACAACUGGGGCAAUGCCUUCGGAAUGAAGCAUGGGGACUCAGUUGCAGGACCCAUAAAAAAUCCUGCAACUUACCAGGUAAACUGUUAUCUUUUAAAACAAGUAAUGUUAGGCCUUCUAUUUCUCACAUAAAAUGAUGAGAAACACUUUGAUUAGAUAGCGAUGUGCAAAUUGCUAAAUGUGUAAUUAUUCUUAUAUCUGGUAAUCAUUUAUCAAAUACAGAGGAAAAGGUAAAGACUAAAUAACACGGUUUUUUCUAUUUGUUCAAGUUCUUGUCAAACAUGAUCAUGGGGUAAUUAAGUUAGGUCAAUAUUUAAAUGAUUCUAUUCUUGUCAAUGACAUUCUCGUGAUGAGUGUUUGUUUUGUUUGUAAUAUAAUUUUAAGCAAGUGGGUGGCUAUAUGGCCUACAUGAUAUAACUGGUGCUUGGGAAGUAUGUUUCACUUUCUUUGUAGCAAGACAUUGGCAUAUGGAGACAGAAGAAGUGUUUAAAAGGGAUAGGGUCCAGCCAAUUGAUUAACAUCCUUUAUUCUUCUCUAGUUAAUUAUGUGGUUAAAUUAUGAAGGUAAAAAUAUUGGAAUGGUGACAGAGUAACAGACUGAAAGUAAGUGAACUUGUACAAGUGCUGUAUGCCAAGAACGCAUUGAAUGGGCAAGAACAUAUAAAUAUGGUUAAUCUUAUGAUUUACAAAGGAAUCAAUGCUUAACUAUACAAUCUAAGACAGUAUGAUGUUCCAUAAAAUCAUAAAAUAGAGCAUAUGCCAUUAAUUUUUUUUGGAAAGCAGCCUAUGGUGUGUGUUAUUUGUUGGAAGAAAAACAAAAUACUGCUGAACUUUGCAUGGACUAUCAGUUUACACAAGGCUGGUAAUAAACUGCUUGAGCUUCAUUAACGGAGUUGUAGUAAAAUAAAUUUUGGCCCGAUGGUGAUAAUUGGUAUAUCCGCGAGAGAAAUUGGAGGGAGGUAAACAGCUAUAAGAUAGUGAUGUCUAAUGGUGUAUAAUAAGGAACUAAAAUGCAAAAAUGAAAUGAUGAGAAAUUUGUUGAUGCAUGACUGACAAGAAAUAGUGGUCAGUCUUUGCAUUGGGAAUGGUUGAACAUAUGAAGUGUAGCUGACUAGAUAUACGGAGUCAUUUCAUGGAGUGGUCAUGCAUAAUUGGAGAAAAUGUUUGGUACAAUAAAGGGGAGGUCAAAAAUGAUGCGAGUGUAGUAAAGAGAAGUUGGCAAAAUGAAUGACCAGGUUAGAGCAUGUCUGUAAAAUAUGUGUUGUUUAUCUUGGCCGAACAGAUAGCAGAAGAAAAUAUUAGAAUUUGUUUGACAUGAUUCUGACCUAGGGUUGGCGGCCCAACCCAUCCCUGGCGGGUUCUUACCCGACCUAAUCUCAUAGGGUAGGUUUUUUUUUUUUUUAAAUCGGGUUUUGGGUCGAGUCGGAUUUGGGUUUUAGGUAAACCUGAUCCGAUCCGAUAUUAUAUAAAAAUUAUUUUUUAAAUUCUUUAUUUAUAUUUAUAAUUAUAUAAUUAUAGUUUUAUAUUUUAAAAAAUAAUAUUUUAUAUUUUUAAAAAAUAAUAUCUUAUUAAUUUCGGGUUGGAUCAGGUACUGUUUAUACAAUAUCAGGUUGGGUCGGGUUCGGGUAUGAAAAAAAUAAAAAAAAAUUUCGAGUCAGGUUUGAGGCGAGCAAAAACUCGUCCCGACCUGACCCGUUGUCAACCCUAUUCUGACCGGUACUUUUUCUCUUACGCUUCAUGGAAUUUUAAUUUUGCAAGCACAUUUCACAUUCAAUUCAUACGGAUGUUUUCUUCUUCUUUUUGUGUCUGAUUAUUAUUUUGAAAAAUACAGAAUAUUUAGAGGGAAAAAUAAAGAUAGUGAGGAACUAGGCUUCACCGAAAAAGUGCUCACAUGCAUACAAUUCCUGUUCUUUUACUGUUUUAAGCAUCAGAUACGUGAGAGUUUGCAGAUUGUAUACUUCUAAUUUGUAAAAUAGGUUUUUUCAUCUAUGGAAGUGAAUUUCAUACUUCAAGUGUUUAAAAACUACCUGGUUAAAACCCUAAAUUAUCACACAAGAAUAAUGGCUGGCAUUUCUUUUAUAGAGCCAACAGAACAAUGCUGACAAUUAAAGCUAGCUUGCAAUCCAACCUAUGCAAUAGUUGUUUCUAUGUGAUGGUUACACAAGGUUAAUGUGGCCUCACAUCAAAGUUUCUGACAAUUAAAGCUAGUUUGGAAUCCAACCUAUGCAAUAGUUGUUUCUAUUUGAUGGUUAUACAAGGUUAAUGUGGCCUCACAUUGAAGCAAGUGGUUGACUUUUUCAGUAAUGCGACAAAAAAUAAUAUUGCUUUUGCAACUUCUUGAUUUAGGUGUUGUUAGACAGAUUGAUGGGAUUACCAGCUAAAGAUAUGCCCCUGAUCAUACGUGGGGUACCCUGAAUGGUGAAUGUUUGAUAUUUUUUUUUAGCAAACUUCCCCAGAGAUUCUUUCUAUGGUCUAGUGAAAGAUACUAUUGUGUUAAUAUUUUUCUGUCUUCGUUGGUUUUCUAUGUAUAUAACUCGUUUUGUAGCACUUUCAUUUACAUCUCUUUAAUCUAUUUUUUUUUCUUUUUUGGCGCACCAAAGUAGCUCCUAAAAUGAAAAGGCUGGCAUAUUCAUUAGGAGCAUAUGUGAAUUAAAUGGGUCAGUUAAAUGCAUGGCAAAAUUUCCUUGGUACACGGGGAGUAUUUCCUUCGCAGCAACAUCUGUCAAAAGAUGCUUCUCAUUGCAUGGACAAAUUUUUGAAACCUUUUGAUGGGUUUUGGGAGACAUUAAUUAAUGGGACCUACUGCUGCUCUAAAAUGCAAAGAAAAUGCACUUUUUUCAACCUAUUAGGUUAAUAUCAUCCAGAAGUGUCCUAAAAUCUUUAAAUAGAUUAUAUAUUAAUUUUCAAUUGUUGUAUAUAUCUUGUGGAGAAUAGUAUGAUUUGAUUAAGAGUGAUAAUCUGUUUUAUAUCAUCUGUGCUAACACGAAGUUUGAUCAUGCCUUGACUAUAGUUUACCAUUUUAACCAUAUCACGUGCAUGGAGUCCAAAUUUUGUUCAUUAUGUUCUUGUUGUGUUGGCAUAGGACUUCAAUGAUCUUGGCUCUUGCCGAUCUUAACUGCACUUAUUAUGGCAGAAUUCUACCGGAACGAAGAUUUAGCAUCUUCAAUUGAAGCAGAAUGGAUUACUCAACUUUAUGAAGUUCAAAGUACCGUGAGUAGGUUAGUGGCCAUUUUCUUAGUUGUACUAUAAUUAAAUUUGCUUACCUUUAUUAGUGUUCUCAUCACUUUUUAGAUGAGAAAUCCCUUUUAUGUUAGGUAUGCAAAGGGGUUCUGUUCCAAGGUGCUAUGCACGACAUAUGAUUUUUGUCUGGUGGGCUACCAUCUGACAAGGUAGUGUUUUUUUUUUUUUGUCCAUAUAACUGUGCAGCCAAGCUAAUAAAAACAAUAGAAUAAAUAGGUCACGAGGGGCCAGAGGACUAGAAUACGUUAGACAGCAGAGCAGAACUGUAUGAUGAUAUUAAUCCUGAAUUCUUGGCCAUAACCUCACUAAGCAAGCAUGUCACAUGCUCUAGUUGUUGAGGUUUGCAACUUCUUCUUACUUUUUAGUACGAGGGCUUCAUUUAUUUUGAUAUGAAUCUGAUGAUGUUGUCGUUGCUUACUUAUACCUAAAUGCGCAAGUUGCAUCAUGGCAGGGUAAAAAUAAAUGUUUUGUACACAUGGUCCACAUUGAAGUCAUUUUGGGGAAUCAAUGACUGCAGAGGGAUGAAUCUGAAAUUUAACUCAGUUAACUUAUGUAAUCACUUUUAAGAAAUGUAUCUAUUAAGUCUAAGAUUUAAAUUUUAAUACGUACAAUCUUUACCCUUUAUCAUCAGAUUGCAACCUCUUAUGUAUAACAAAAAUGACUACGGAAAGAUUAAUUAUUCCAAUCUUAUGAAGAAGUAUAAAUAGAAUAGUUAUAAACUCUUCCGAAAUUUUGGGUUGGAGGAAAGUAAAUAAAAGUCAAGUGGGGGCCAUUGAAAUAAUGUUGACAGAGUCCCACUUCUACACCGUAUCAAGUCUGCUACACUAGUUUGGCUGGUCAACAUGAUGUAUAAAGUUGUGUUGAGCUUGGUCUCUUGCUUUAUAACUGUUAACAUCUGAGUACCAUUGUUCUGUAUGGUGACUGCAUUUUGCUUCCCUGUUUUCUUCUUGGGGAUCUUAAUAUCGGUUCUAAAAAAGGGAACAUGGAAAUUCUCUUUGGAAUAGCUCUGCAAUUUUUGUUCAUAAUUAUUGAUUUGGUUGCAGCUAGUUUGGUUACCUCUUUUAUUUGUUUAUUUUUUUCUUAAUUUUUCAUAUAUAUUCAUAUCAUAUCUAUGCUAGGUGCUAACUCAUCGGCAAUGCAGGAGCAGCACGGUGGAUGGAGGGAACAGAAGGAGCCAAAAAUUGGUAAUCAUGUCAUCAUUAUCAUUACUACCAUAAUGCUCAUGAUCUGUGGUCCUACUUCUGCUCUUUUCUUUUUCUCUUCUCAUCCGUGACUCAGUCACCGAACAUAACAUUAUUCAGCACAAUGAUUAAAAUCUCAUUUAGGC
Molecule: long non-coding RNA, 5350 nt
Filed under: Durio zibethinus
Lineage: Eukaryota; Viridiplantae; Streptophyta; Magnoliopsida; Malvales; Malvaceae
Description: long non-coding RNA (DZIB_LNC001758)
Source: RNAcentral